UGGGUGAAAUAAGUAGCUGCUAUUGUGUGGUAAACACAGCAGAGGAAAGUCCGGGCUCCAAGGAAAAAUAGUGACGGGUAAUACCCGCCGGAGGUAACUCUAGUUAUAGGGCUACAGAAAAUUACUGCCUAAAAUUUUUUAGGUAAGGGUGAAAAGGUGUGGAAAGAGCACACCAUAACAAUGGCAACAUUGGUAGUUGAGACUCGCAUGCAGUAAGUGGUAACACUUACUCCAGAUAAAUAGCUACACAAACAGAACUUCGGCUUAUAUUUCACCUAGACA
Molecule: RNase P RNA, 282 nt
Filed under: Wolbachia endosymbiont of Atemnus politus
Lineage: Bacteria; Pseudomonadati; Pseudomonadota; Alphaproteobacteria; Rickettsiales; Anaplasmataceae
Description: RNase P RNA component class A
Rfam family: Bacterial RNase P class A
About the family: Ribonuclease P (RNase P) is a ubiquitous endoribonuclease, found in archaea, bacteria and eukarya as well as chloroplasts and mitochondria. Its best characterised activity is the generation of mature 5'-ends of tRNAs by cleaving the 5'-leader elements of precursor-tRNAs.
Source: RNAcentral